RNAcentral lists this transfer RNA (73 nucleotides) under Acropora cervicornis. RNAcentral's name for it is "tRNA-Ser". It matches the Rfam family "tRNA". From Rfam's summary of the family: Transfer RNA (tRNA) molecules are approximately 80 nucleotides in length. Their secondary structure includes four short double-helical elements and three loops (D, anti-codon, and T loops). Further hydrogen bonds mediate the characteristic L-shaped molecular structure. tRNAs have two regions of fundamental functional importance: the anti-codon, which is responsible for specific mRNA codon recognition, and the 3' end, to which the tRNAs corresponding amino acid is attached (by aminoacyl-tRNA synthetases). tRNAs cope with the degeneracy of the genetic code in two manners: having more than one tRNA (with a specific anti-codon) for a particular amino acid; and 'wobble' base-pairing, i.e. permitting non-standard base-pairing at the 3rd anti-codon position. Lineage: Eukaryota; Metazoa; Cnidaria; Anthozoa; Scleractinia; Acroporidae. The record is from RNAcentral.
AACUCUGUAGCUCAGUUUGUUAGAGCAUCGCACUAGAAAUGCAAGGUCACGGGUUCAAACCCCGUUGAAGUCC